Molecule: ribosomal RNA, 420 nt
Filed under: uncultured bacterium
Lineage: Bacteria
Description: bacterial SSU rRNA
Rfam family: Bacterial small subunit ribosomal RNA
Source: RNAcentral
GAACGGGUGAGUAAUGCAUCGGAACGUGCCCAGUCGUGGGGGAUAACUGCUCGAAAGAGCAGCUAAUACCGCAUACGACCUGAGGGUGAAAGCGGGGGACCGUAAGGCCUCGCGCGAUUGGAGCGGCCGAUGUCAGAUUAGCUAGUUGGUGGGGUAAAGGCCUACCAAGGCAACGAUCUGUAGUUGGUCUGAGAGGACGACCAGCCACACUGGGACUGAGACACGGCCCAGACUCCUACGGGAGGCAGCAGUGGGGAAUUUUGGACAAUGGGCGCAAGCCUGAUCCAGCAAUGCCGCGUGCAGGAAGAAGGCCUUCGGGUUGUAAACUGCUUUUGUCAGGGAAGAAAUCUUCUGGGCUAAUACCCCGGGAGGAUGACGGUACCUGAAGAAUAAGCACCGGCUAACUACGUGCCAGCAGCC